GGGGGAGGAAGGCAGCCGGGAGAAGGAAAGCUGGGACGGGCCGGGACCACAGGAGCCCCAGCCCCACACAGCAACCACCCGGGCGAGAAAGAAAGAAAGAGCCAGGGAGGCGGGCGAAGCGCGGGGAGAGAAGCAGAGAAGAAAUAUUCACCUUCCCGCCUCAUGCCCACUUUGAGGCACUUCUUGAGGCGGCAGUAUUGGCACUGGUUGCGGUGGUGCUGGUCGAUGGGACAGUUCCUGUUGGCACGGCAUGUCAGGUAGAUGAAACUCAAGAGAAAAGGUGUGGAUAAAUGAAACUAGCCCAUGAUGAACCUGUUUUCUCCGUGACCACAAUAUUAACCAGGAUGAAUGGCGGUGGCAGUGGGCCUGCAUCACAGGUUGCAGCAGAUGUUCUCAAUAUUUCUAUUAAAAUUUCCUUAUUUCCAUAUGCAAGAGGAGCCCCAGAGCUGCAUCCUUAUGGUAGCUACCAUGCCGUGAUGUAAGCUGCCAUUCACUGGGGAGCUUUGGCAAUAGAAUUGGCUAGAUCAGGAAGCCUAUGUCAACUAUGGAACAACAACUUGCAGCUCAUCUCUAUUGAUGGUGAAACAGUCGCAAAUGGAAUUCCAAGAAACAUUCUAUCAUCAGGUAUUAUCUACUGCUGUCUGCAGAAUUCAGACAUGGAGGGCUCAAUGGUGUCCCCUGGUCUUUGGAACAUUCUGUAUUUUAAUGAUCAUGAUACACUGCCUCUAGGACUGGGACAGAUAGCCACUGAGUACCUGCUUCAAAUCACCCUGCACGUUUUCUCUUUGGAAAGAUAAGCACUGGAGAACCAUCUCGUUACCUUCAGCAGAAAUGGAAACAAAUCAAGACAUUAAGAAUGCCGCAGUGGACAGCAGUUAUGCAAGGUUCAGCAGAGGAAGUUUUCAAGAUGGUGUGCCUCACUAGCCAGAAAUCAGAAAAGAUCGAAGCUAGCCUUUUCAUCUCAGCUGCUCCUUAAAUCAGUGCAACCCCUCCAAAUUAAUGUGAAUUGAAACUUGCAUUGCUUUUCAACUUAAUUGAAUACUUACUAUAUGUGAACCACUGCACAAAAUAGGGGAAGAAGAUGUGGGAGACAAAGAUGUGGAGCCUGUCUUCAAUAAAUUUACAGUUAGUUUCAGGGUACAUUGUUUUUCUUCUGCUGUUAAUUAGGUGUAUCCCCAAGACAAUAAAUACAUGAAUGGAAAAGUAUAUUCUGUGUUUUAAGUCUCUUUAAUAAAAAACAAAACAAAAUCCAAAAAAACUCCUAACAUGGCAACUCAGGACAUUUUAAUCCUUUUUUUUGUUGUUGGGCUUCUGAUAGGAUCCAUUUUAUUGAUUCCAUAAAUAUUUAGUAGACUUUAGACAUAUUAAUACAUUGUAGUUUGAGUUAAUUUGCAUUAAAUUCUGUUUUUUUCCCCUUAGGUAUAGAUUGUCUGUUGGAAAAAUAUAUUGCUUGUGGAUUUCUUGGGGAGUGGGAAGGUGAAUUAUACCUGUUGUCUCUACAGUCCACUACCUUCCACACCCUAGGGCAGUGGUCCCCAACCUUCUUGGCACCAGGGAUCAGUUUCCUGGAAGACAAUUUUUCUGUGGAUGGUGUGGGGAUGGUUUUGGGAUGGAACUGUUCCACCUCAGAUCAUCAGGCAUUAGUUAGGCUCUCAUAACGAGUGCGCAGCCUAGAUCCCUCACAUGCACAGUUCACAGUAGGGUUUGCGCUGCUAUGAGAAUCUAAGGCUGCCACUGAUCUGACAGGAGGCAGAACUCAGGUGGCAAUGCUUACUGGCCCACUGCUCACCUCUUGCUGUGCGGCCUGGUUCCUAAUAGGCCAUGGACCCCCACAGACGGGUACUAGUCUGCAGCCUGUGGACCCCAGCCCUAGGGGCCUGCCAUUCUGAGUGAGUUAUUAGCAUGAAGAAGAGGAAGAUCUGGAUCAAACGUGGGUGAUGGUACUCAGAGACCCAAGAUAGGAUAGGGAUGGAACAAAAUCCAUCUGGGCAACGGCUCUAUGAAAAUUUGGCUAAGUAAUUAUUUCAGUAUUCAUUGUAUUCAUUGUCCUUCGUGUUCCAUAAGUUAAAUGACUGUCUAAUUUUUCCAAAAAUUUAUUUCUGACUUGAGAAUAAGUGUGUCAUGAUUUUCCCAGUGUAAAGACACUGAUAUAACUGUAGAUACCAGACAUUUUAUGUAGUGUCUAUGACACAUUUUAGUAUGUAUGAGCCAACAAUAGACAUGUCUUUGUCUUGAGGAGUGUCCAUCUGAAUUGAAAAUGUGUCAGCUUUUUUUUAACAUCAUCAACAGACUUCUUAAUUAAGCUGCCAAUACAUACUGCCAAUAGCACUGUGUGCUGUCUGAGAAAUGCAUUGUGUAAGUGCUAUUUCCAUCUUAUUAAAUAAACAAUGUUGCUCUGUAUAAACUGGAUUUAAAGUGUUCUUUGAAUGAGGCAUUAUAUUGCUCCAUAAAUAAUGUGAUGUGAAUUCUCAUAUGAUCCCUUUUAACUUAAUUUCUAAAAAAAUAUUAUUUGCUCCUCAGUAAGGAAUAGCUCUAAUUGGACUGGUAACUUUAGUGAUAUGAUUUGUCUGUAACAGGCUGAAUCGCCCCACUCCCAAACUCCUGGUCGUGAUACUGGAUAUUUGUUAUGCCACUUUUAGUUUGCAUGAGGUAUCUUCCAGGAAGUAUUAGUUAUUAACUUGUGU
Homo sapiens (human) is the source of this 2684-nucleotide long non-coding RNA. Ensembl annotates it as NR2F1 antisense RNA 1. Its record names the gene NR2F1-AS1. The record is from Ensembl. Lineage: Eukaryota; Metazoa; Chordata; Mammalia; Primates; Hominidae.